Molecule: ribosomal RNA, 253 nt
Filed under: uncultured Bacteroidales bacterium
Lineage: Bacteria; Pseudomonadati; Bacteroidota; Bacteroidia; Bacteroidales
Description: partial 16S ribosomal RNA
Rfam family: Bacterial small subunit ribosomal RNA
Source: RNAcentral
UACGGAGGAUGCGAGCGUUAUCCGGAUUUAUUGGGUUUAAAGGGUGCGUAGGCGGCGCUUCAGGUCAGCGGUGAAAUACCGGGGCUCAACCCCGGGGCUGCCGUUGAAACUGGCUGUCUUGAGAUGUCGAGAGGUAUGCGGAAUGCGCAGUGUAGCGGUGAAAUGCAUAGAUAUCACGCAGAACUCCGAUUGCGAAGGCAGCAUACCGGCGCUCAACUGACGCUCAUGCACGAAAGCGUGGGUAUCGAACAGG